Molecule: non-coding RNA, 73 nt
Organism: Pangasius djambal
Lineage: Eukaryota; Metazoa; Chordata; Actinopteri; Siluriformes; Pangasiidae
Source: the annotation of a GenBank genome assembly
UCCCUGAUGGUCUAGCAGCUAAGGAUCCUAUGCUCUCACUGCAGCUGCCCGGGUUCGAUUCCCAGGCAGAGAA